Molecule: transfer RNA, 90 nt
Filed under: Cryobacterium sp. SO1
Lineage: Bacteria; Bacillati; Actinomycetota; Actinomycetes; Micrococcales; Microbacteriaceae
Description: tRNA-Ala
Source: RNAcentral
UGCGGGUCGCGUCGGCCUUCGCCCGCGCGUGAGCGACGCGCCGACACCUGACCUGGGUGGCGUCGCCGGCUCCGUGGCCGGCGCCCGCGG